GCCUUUAUGGCUCAGUGGUAGAGCAUUUGUUUAGUAAACAAAAGGUCGUGGGUUCAAACCCCACUAAAGGCU
Transfer RNA from Enterospora canceri, 72 nucleotides. It matches the Rfam family "tRNA". Rfam says of the family: Transfer RNA (tRNA) molecules are approximately 80 nucleotides in length. Their secondary structure includes four short double-helical elements and three loops (D, anti-codon, and T loops). Further hydrogen bonds mediate the characteristic L-shaped molecular structure. tRNAs have two regions of fundamental functional importance: the anti-codon, which is responsible for specific mRNA codon recognition, and the 3' end, to which the tRNAs corresponding amino acid is attached (by aminoacyl-tRNA synthetases). tRNAs cope with the degeneracy of the genetic code in two manners: having more than one tRNA (with a specific anti-codon) for a particular amino acid; and 'wobble' base-pairing, i.e. permitting non-standard base-pairing at the 3rd anti-codon position. The record is from Rfam. NCBI's taxonomy places the organism in Eukaryota, Fungi, Microsporidia, Enterocytozoonidae.